AUGUACAUUCCUACAAUGUUAAUGCACUGGAUCUCAUUAGAAAUUUACAAUUAAGUGUGCUUGGGAUAGAGUAGCACUGGGAUGGGUGACCUCUUGGGAAGUCAUAGUGUUUUACAUG
Picea glauca (white spruce) is the source of this 118-nucleotide non-coding RNA. The record is from Rfam. NCBI's taxonomy places the organism in Eukaryota, Viridiplantae, Streptophyta, Pinopsida, Pinales, Pinaceae.